Molecule: ribosomal RNA, 548 nt
Filed under: uncultured marine chrysophyte
Lineage: Eukaryota; Chrysophyceae
Description: SSU rRNA
Rfam family: Eukaryotic small subunit ribosomal RNA
Source: RNAcentral
UAUUUAUUACAUGGAAACCAAUGCGGGUUCGCCCGGAUUCAGGUGAUUCAUAAUAACUUUCGGAUCGGCUUGCCGAUGCAUCAUUCAAGUUUCUGCCCUAUCAGGUCUGGAUGGUAGGGUAUUGGCCUACCAUGCCUUUAACGGGUAACGGAGAAUUAGGGUUCGAUUCCGGAGAGGGGGCCUGAGAAAUGGCCACCACAUCCAAGGAAGGCAGCAGGCGCGUAAAUUACCCAAUCCUGACACAGGGAGGUAGUGACAAUAAAUAACACCGCAGGGCUUUUUAAAGUCUUGCGUUAGGAACGAGAACAAUUUAAACCCCUUAUCGAGGAUCAAUUGGAGGGCAAGUCUGGUGCCAGCAGCCGCGGUAAUUCCAGCUCCAAUAGCGUAUACUAAAGUUGUUGCAGUUAAAAAGCUCGUAGUUGAAUUUCUGGAUGUGAAAGGUGGUCGGCACCUCACGGUGUCUGUACCUACCAUUCGCGUCCAUCCUCGGGAGGAACAUGUGGACACUUAAGUGGGUCUGCUUGGGAAUCUCGUCAUUUACUGUGAGC